GUGCUUGCUUUGGCAGCACAAAUACUCAAAUUAAAAUGAUAAUAGAGAGAUUAGCAUGGGCCCUGGGCAAAAAUGGCACAUAAAUUUGUGGUGUUCUGUAUGAAAAA
Molecule: small nuclear RNA, 107 nt
Filed under: Microcebus murinus (gray mouse lemur)
Lineage: Eukaryota; Metazoa; Chordata; Mammalia; Primates; Cheirogaleidae
Source: RNAcentral